GAAAUGCAGGCAGGGGUUGAGGGAAAUGGGAGGGGAGCUCACCGGUGUCCUGAGCGGGACUCCUCAGCUGGGGGUUCAGGUCUCCAGCUCUCCGGUCCAGCCGCAGGGCCUUAUAUAGCGCGGCUGGUGGCUCAGCCUGUGGCAGUGCGCCAGGGGAAGCGCUGCGAAACCAGAUCUGAGCAUGGGGAAGCUCAGCCUCCCCAUCCCCUCCCCACAUCCCCUGGAGCUCCCAGAGGCCCCGAUUUCACUUCCAGAUCCUUAGGGGGAGAUGCCGCAGGACCUAGGGAAAGGCCAGGUGGGCAGCUGCCUGGGGCUCCCCAGGCCAGAGCAGAGAGACAUUUGGGGAGGUAGGAUGGGCACGGGGAGCAGCCUUGGGAAGGGGCCAGGGGCUAUUCUACAGCUGGGCAGCAUUUCAUGGCUCAGGGGGUAGCGUGCUCUUGCCUAAGCUUUGCGCUGAUCCCUACAUUCCCCUGGCCCUGGCCUGCCCAUGCAGAGAGAGAACUUUGCUGGUGUUAGCACAUACUCCAAACUCUCUUAGGCACACAAGUCACCUGGUCUCCCAACUGAGGGUAGGGCCUGGUCUGAGCUGGAUGACUACUCAGCUUCUCUGGCCCCUGAGGGAGCAGACAGAGAAACUUAGGGAAAGGAACAAAGGAAUUAGAGGACACAGGAUAUCACCUGGUGAGAACAGUUCUUCCCUGCUCCUACCUACUUCCAUCUGGGGGUCUGUCUACGGCCACUGGACCCCAGAGCCCCUGCACCUAGACUCUCUGAGACCUUGCUGGACCGUCAUAGGUGUGUAUAUGUGUCCGACUUCAGGUGUGGGGCCCACUGGCAUAUGCACAGCCUUACCCAUAGGUGGCGUAAGCAGCUGCGUGUGCUUCUAGACUUGAGCAGCCUCCCUGCCAGCAGGAAUCUGCCGGCUGGCCUUCGCAGCCGUUCUACAGCUUUCACAUGCAUUAGAAUCCCCUGGAGGGUUGAUUGCUGGGCCCCACACGGAGCUUCUGAUUCAGUAUGUCUGAGGUGAGGCCUGAGGCUGUAUUUCUAACAACUGCCAGGUGAUAUUGAUGCUUCAUGGACUACAUUAGAGUCCCAGCUGGAGGCAGAUGGAAAGGGGUGUACUAGGAACCCAGAGCAAGAGCUUCUAGGACCCACCUCAUGGGCCAGGCUCCUCAGGCCUGGGCCGGGCUUCCUGCCUCAUGCCAGGAUGGGGAGAUGGAGGCCUGGUCCCAACAGCAUCAAUACCAAAUGUCGGCUCACUCUUUCCAUACACCCUCAUCAAGCUCCUAUUCCAUGGCAGGCUUUAGGCUGAGCGCUGGGAGGCCACAAGGGAGGAGACACGUUCUUGCUCUCAGAGAAAGGAGCCUCACAUGGGGUUCACUGGAGCAGUGAGAGUUGGCACCGCCCUGCUGCUUCCCCAGGAACUACACUCAGCAUCUCAGCAGCAAACCGCCCUGGCUUCCUAAGAUACCAGAAAAUCCUAAAAGAGAUUACUUUUUGGUUUGGGAAGGCUCAAACUUUUUUCCAUAUGAAUUAAUGGUUCGCCAAGCCUCUGCUGGAGGUGGACGCAGGGCUGCAGCCCCACCCAACUGGGUGGGCCGAGAGACAGGAAUGCUGCUCAGCACAGCUGGCCGGACAGGGGAGACUGUUUAUUCUCUGCUGUCGGGAACAUCCCAGACAAUCAGGGGGAUUUGGCUGCUGGCAGCCCCUGCAUUUGAGGACUCCAAGGAGUCAGCUUAAUCAGAGCAGGAUGAUGGCCCGAGCUCCGAGAAGGCAGCAGGGGUGGAAGAGAGGGCCCACCCCUCCCUGCCCCACAUUCUAUGCCAUGUGCCUCUGAGCUCACCUCCUGGGCCUGCAGCGAUGGGCGGGAAGGUGAAUGGAGCUGAACCCUGAGCUCUUGCUAAUAGUGUGGUUGUCGGGUGAGACCUCCUAUGGUCCCCCUCCCAACACCCCAGGUGCCCCCAGCUUAUGAGUUGGGAGACAUGGCAGGGCCUAGGAAGGGAGCUCAUUUCUGCAGCCCCCAGACUUAGUAUUGCCCAUUCCAACCUCCCUACACCAGCCUGGAUCCUUCUUGCUCAUACAGCCCGUAGAAGCUGCAGCCUUGUGCUUAUCUGCCUUUCUUAUUACUCUAGCUCCAGAGUCGGCUUUGGUGUGGCCUCUUUCGGGCCUUUUCACCUUGGGCAAGUCACCUCUCCAGGUCUGGUUCUUCUGUAAAAGAAAGAUUAUGGUAUCUGUCUUACAAGGAUCCUGUGAAGAUUAAGUAAUUCUUUCAAUACACCCACCAUGCAGGAGGCAUUGGAGAAAUGGUAGUGCCUUUCUCUCCCAUUCUUUGUGUUGAGCAGACCCAACUUCUGGUCUUCCUGAGGGCCAGGCCCCUCCAGUGUAGCUUACAUCUGCCCUGGUCGCAUUACCUAUUGAUGCUCCCAGAUCUGAGUGCCCUGGGGUUCUUUAGGCUGGAAGCCUUUCUGGAGCAGAGUCCAAGUUGACCCAAGGAGGCCCUUGAUGCCAAAGCUACAGAAGACCCCAGAAUACAGUGCGUUUUUGGUGUGUUUUGCCCAUUUCUAAUUUUGCACAGGUCUGAGUGCCUUGUCCAAGUGUGUGUGGGGGGGGGGGCGGGGAGGGUGUCAAGAAAAAUUCAUCAAUCCUGACUCAUUGGUUUGGAAUUCAUCUUUCUAUGUAUUUAAUAAAGGGUUGACACCAAAAAUAAUGAAGUUCCAGGAUGGCAAAGGGUGUUAGUUAAGGACUUCUCCCCACUGUAUCCCCACAAGAUCCAAUUUAAACUCUUAAAUAAAAAGAAUUUACUGGUUGCACAGUGAGAAGUCCAGCUUUAGGCACAACCCAACUCAGUACUCAACAUCAUCAAGACUCCGUUUCUCUUCCUCUCUUGGCUCUGCUCUCCAUUGAGUAACACCAGGACCAGACUCUCAUGGAGGAAGGA
Canis lupus familiaris (dog) is the source of this 2938-nucleotide long non-coding RNA. RefSeq lists it as uncharacterized. The record is from RefSeq and is a predicted model, not a curated record. NCBI's taxonomy places the organism in Eukaryota, Metazoa, Chordata, Mammalia, Carnivora, Canidae. The transcript is spliced from 3 exons.